AAUAGAUACCCGGGUAGUCCACGCCGUAAACGAUGUCGACUUGGAGGUUGUGCCCUUGAGGCGUGGCUUCCGGAGCUAACGCGUUAAGUCGACCGCCUGGGGAGUACGGCCGCAAGGUUAAAACUCAAAUGAAUUGACGGGGGCCCGCACAAGCGGUGGAGCAUGUGGUUUAAUUCGAUGCAACGCGAAGAACCUUACCUACUCUUGACAUCCAGAGAACUUAGCAGAGAUGCUUUGGUGCCUUCGGGAACUCUGAGACAGGUGCUGCAUGGCUGUCGUCAGCUCGUGUUGUGAAAUGUUGGGUUAAGUCCCGCAACGAGCGCAACCCUUAUCCUUUGUUGCCAGCGGGUUAGGCCGGGGAACUCAAAGGAGACUGCCAGUGAUAAACUGGAGGAAGGUGGGGAUGACGUCAAGUCAUCAUGGCCCUUACGGAGUAGGGCUACACACGUGCUACAAUGGCAUAUACAAAGAGAAGCGACCUCGCGAGAGCAAGCGGACCUCAUAAAGUAUGUCGUAGUCCGGAUUGGAGU
This 530-nucleotide ribosomal RNA is filed under the name uncultured bacterium. Its description in RNAcentral is "bacterial SSU rRNA". It matches the Rfam family "Bacterial small subunit ribosomal RNA", at positions 777 to 1304 of the family's 1533-position model. The record is from RNAcentral.